UUCUCAGCUCACAUCGACAACAUGCUGCUGACUCUCUGUACUCUGAUCACUGCAUUAACAUGUGUGAGUGGUGUGACGGUGCUCACACAGAAACCUCCUGUUCUAUCAGUGAGGAAAGGAGAGACAGCCACCGUGGACUGUAACCUGGGGACUGUUACUGGCAGUAAUGCUCGGUGGUAUAAACAGAUUCCAGGAGAAGUUCCUCAGUUUGUGCUGAGGUUUCAUCAUAGCUGGGGUUCUCCAACCUAUGGCUCUGGGUUCUCUGCUCCAAAAUUCACAUCCACUCAUCAGUCAACAACAGAUUAUCGUUUGAUCAUCAAAAAUGUGGAGGAGGGAGACUCUGCAGUCUAUUACUGUAAGACACAUGACAACUCUGUCGAUGAGUUCGUAUCACAGUGAUUUAUACUGUGACAAAAACCUCCUCACUGUUACUUCUCCUUUUUUGGAUUUUUACACAUACUGAUAACUAAGACAGUGUAUAUUCACCACCUAAAGAAAGUAUUAUUCAAUAAAUGUUAUUUUUAUUGACAAACAUCAGACUGCACUAACGUUGUUCCACCAUAUGAUUAACUAAUAUAUUUUAUAUGAACAUUUUUUAUGUCAGACAUGUAAAAAUGAUUAUGAACCAGAAACACUGAUGAUAUGAGUUAUAGUUGUUGUUUUGAAGACUCAUCUGAAUAAACUAGGAAUAUAAUGUGACUGACAUUAUAAUGCUCAAAUUUGAAGGUGGAAACACUUAUAUAUUUCUCUUGCUUUUUAUACUCACUGUCAACAGUUUCUAAGUUAUCAUAUUUGCAAACAACC
Molecule: non-coding RNA, 804 nt
Organism: Pundamilia nyererei
Lineage: Eukaryota; Metazoa; Chordata; Actinopteri; Cichliformes; Cichlidae
Source: the annotation of a RefSeq genome assembly